GUGGGGAAUAUUGCACAAUGGGGGGAACCCUGAUGCAGCGACGCCGCGUGAGCGAUGAAGGAAUUCGUUUCGUAAAGCUCUGUCCUUGGAGAAGAUAAUGACGGUAACCAAGGAGGAAGCACCGGCUAAAUACGUGCCAGCAGCCGCGGUAAUACGUAUGGUGCGAGCGUUGUCCGGAAUUAUUGGGCGUAAAGGGUACGUAGGCGGUUAAACAAGUCAGAUGUAAAAACUUGAGGCUCAACCUCAUGUAGCAUUUGAAACUGUAUAACUUGAGUAGUGGAGAGGAAAGUGGAAUUCCUAGUGUAGCGGUGAAAUGCGUAGAUAUUAGGAGGAAUACCAGUAGCGAAGGCGACUUUCUGGACACAAACUGACGCUGAGGUACGAAAGCGUGGGGAGCAAACAGGA
RNAcentral lists this ribosomal RNA (405 nucleotides) under uncultured bacterium. Its description in RNAcentral is "bacterial SSU rRNA". It matches the Rfam family "Bacterial small subunit ribosomal RNA", at positions 354 to 777 of the family's 1533-position model. The record is from RNAcentral.